This is a long non-coding RNA of Poecile atricapillus (Black-capped chickadee), 908 nucleotides long. RefSeq lists it as uncharacterized. Lineage: Eukaryota; Metazoa; Chordata; Aves; Passeriformes; Paridae. The record is from RefSeq and is a predicted model, not a curated record. The transcript is spliced from 3 exons.
CGGAAGCGUUAUGGAACCGUGUGACGGAGCCUUUUCCACGUAGAGGGGCCGUGUGGGUGGCCUUCAGGAACGGGCCGAGGGGUUGCCGCGCGCCCUGGGACGACGGCGUCCGGCUCCCGGUGUGGCCGAAGCGCGUGGCCUCAGGACGUGGCCGUUCGCAGGAGACCCUGACCGAGAGACGGCAGCCUGGCGAUGGCAGGAACUUCCCAGAUGGCGAGGCGGCCUUCCUUGGCGCUCCAUGUGGAUCCACCCUGCCGGGCAUCCGAGAGCUGAGUCGGAGGCUGCGAAUUGCAGAGGGGCUGAAAGUGGGGUGCCGGGUCGGGACUCGUGACCUGGGAUUAUGGAGUCAGCUUUGGGGACGGGGAGGUCCAGGCUGUGGCCCCUUAGGCCACGUGAAGGGAGAGCCUCACUUUUGUUCACAGUGCUGAGGUGCGCAGGACAGAGCAGUCCCGGGGCGUGUCCCAUCACUUGUCCGUCGUGCCUUCUGUGUCUUUUGUGCCUCUCCUGUUGUACGUGCCUCGCCUUAUCUCUUCUGGGGGCUUACCAGAAACCCCGGUGUCACUCCUCGCAUCUCCGAUCUCUGGGCUCCUCAGCCCGACACCAUCGAAGCUUUGCCUCAGGAGCUCUCAGAGGCCUUGGAAUCGCGUCUCUCUUUUAAAAGCAUCCGAUCGGAUGUCUUUUAGAGGUCUUGUUCCGUGCUGUGUCAACAGCCGUGCGCCGCGAGGAUCCAUUGCUGCGGCUUAGGUCUUGAAGAAACGCAAAGUUUGGUAGGGGGCUGUGGCCCUCAGAUUCUCGGGCAUCCGUCUUGGCAGUUGCUGGAGUUUGUCAUUCCAUCAGCAUCUUCUUCCUCCCGGGUUCUGCGAGCUUCAUCAGCUCGCCUUCAUUCUCACCCGGCUCAUCUCGUUCCG